RNAcentral lists this long non-coding RNA (481 nucleotides) under Homo sapiens (human). RNAcentral's name for it is "HSALNT0379081". The record is from RNAcentral. Lineage: Eukaryota; Metazoa; Chordata; Mammalia; Primates; Hominidae.
GGAGAAGCCUGAGAAGCAGUAGAUUGUCUGAAGCUCCAACGAGAGGCAGCAGGAACUGGGGCUGGAACCACAGAUUUGAGAGCUGGUAACUACCCACCUUCUAUUGCAUGCCUGGCACAUGCUAACCAAGCUUUACCUCUGAGGAGCUCACAGACCAACAUUCCUCUGGAGGAGGGAGCAGGUUUUGAUGAAACACACCCACCAAGAAAAAUGCUGUGACAGGUUGUGAGGUUGGAAGUUGAAACAGAAGCAUCAAGUUCUAAUAGAUCCUGCCCUGUUAAGUGAAGUCCCCGGAACAAGAUGCCGUUUCAAGGGAAACGGAUCUGGGCUUUUAAAACUCUCUACUCACGAUGAGAAUAUAAAAAGAUGGGUCCGGGAGAACAAAGGGAGAGAUUUUGGGGGAUGAUUCCUUGGGAAGAAGUGUACCCAGCCCUUUUGCUAGCAUGUUGGGGGGGCAUGAAGAGAUCCCUCCUCCACCUCA